AACAAUAAUUAUUGACGAGCAAAUAAGAAUAAACGAUUUGUUUAUUAAAAAAUAAUAAAAAUAAUUCUUUAGUCGCCAGUGUCACUUAGGUAUUUACUGUAAGAUUAAGUUUAAGGCAUCAUACACAUGAAACAAUAAUGUAAUUCUUAUCGAAAGGCUCUCUGUAGAGGAAUCUUAUAGUCAAUAAUUAGUAAGUCGAAAAAAAUAACAAUACGCCAUUAUUUAAUACCUAUCCAUAGCUGAUGAUAAUGCUGUCAUUAAAUUGUUUAAAUAAUUAGAUCAAGUUGUAUAAUACCCAGUGAAUUUGUUGUUUUUAGCCGUGCAUCUUAUUGCUUCGUUGUUUCGAUUAACCUAUUUUAUUUGGCAACCGACAAAUUGUUUAAUAAUUAUGAAGUUCUCGUGUGUGUGACGUCUGUUUAGCCUCAUCGUAUAACAGUUAUAAACAAUUAUCAUACUGUCACACAGUAUUUUCAUCAAUAAUUAUAAGUUGUUUACCACGUAAAGUAUCAGCCUUAAAUUACUACGUAGAGAAAAUUAGACCAACAAACCCCGAGGUUCAGCUAACCUCGGACACCAACCAUACAUACAUAACGUCGUUUAAAGAACCCUAAUUGGAAUCGCAAAUUACAAUCAGAAGAAAGAAGUUGAACCAUUUACAUUAACCGAAAACAAAGUAUAAUCUAAAACACAAAGCAAUUUCAAAACCAAAACCAAAACCAUAAAAAUAACCAUAACCAUAACCAUAACCAUAACCAAGAUUAAAACUGGAGAAAAUAAUAAAACCAUAAUCAAAAGAAAAAACUUAUACUAUUAAACAAUUUAUUAAUUGGUAAAUAGUAAACAGAUAUAUAAACUAAUAACGAAUUAACAGAAACAAAAGCAAAAGUAAAAACAAACAAGACAAAAGACCAUAAAAUAUAAACUAUAUAAAAUCAAUUAUUGAACGAUCUAAAUUGGGUUCCAACAAUUCACGAAAUUUAUUUACAUUAAAUCGUUGUG
Cotesia glomerata is the source of this 999-nucleotide long non-coding RNA. RefSeq lists it as uncharacterized. The record is from RefSeq and is a predicted model, not a curated record. The transcript has 3 exons. Lineage: Eukaryota; Metazoa; Arthropoda; Insecta; Hymenoptera; Braconidae.